UACAGAGGUCUCAAGCGUUGUUCGGAUUCAUUGGGCGUAAAGGGUGUGUAGGUGGCGCGCUAAGUCGGGUGUGAAAUUUCGGAGCUUAACUCCGAAACUGCAUUCGAUACUGGCGUGCUUGAGGACUGGAGAGGAGACUGGAAUUCAUGGUGUAGCAGUGAAAUGCGUAGAGAUCAUAAGGAAGACCAGUGGUGAAGGCGGGUCUCUGGACAGUUCCUGACACUGAGACACGAAGGCCAGGGGAGCAAACGGG
This 253-nucleotide ribosomal RNA is filed under the name uncultured bacterium. Its description in RNAcentral is "partial 16S ribosomal RNA". It matches the Rfam family "Bacterial small subunit ribosomal RNA", at positions 524 to 776 of the family's 1533-position model. The record is from RNAcentral.